GCAUUGAUGGUUCAGUGGGAGAAUUUCUGCCUUCCGUGCAGGAAACCCAAGUUUGAUUCCCAGCCGGUGCA
Molecule: transfer RNA, 71 nt
Filed under: Loxodonta africana (African savanna elephant)
Lineage: Eukaryota; Metazoa; Chordata; Mammalia; Proboscidea; Elephantidae
Rfam family: tRNA
About the family: Transfer RNA (tRNA) molecules are approximately 80 nucleotides in length.
Source: Rfam by way of RNAcentral